AUGCACGAAGGAGGGUCAAGUAGUAUACCAUCCUCAAAGGGAACAAGUAAACACACAAAAAGGAUAAGUUUCAUCUUAGUAUAUGGAAUGCACGUGUCCCUUGGCGAUGGAGCCAAAGCCAUGGUAACCAGGAAGCUUCGGCGCACUCCCUUUCCCAAGAAGGCGAACUUCAGGGCUGAAGGAGGCCUCGUACUCGUCCAUCGAAACAUGUGCGGGCCUAUCAGCCCUGCAACCGAUGGCGGUCGUCGCUAUUUCCUGCUGCUGGUUGAUGACUGCACCGUUGCUUCAAUUCAGCGAGUCCAAGCGGUGGCUGAAGCAGAGUGUGGACGGCCAUUCCAUGUCUUCCGCACCUAUCAGCCCUGCAACCGAUGGCAGUCGUCGCUAUUUCCUGCUGCUGGUUGA
RNAcentral lists this ribosomal RNA (402 nucleotides) under Triticum aestivum (bread wheat). Its description in RNAcentral is "partial small subunit ribosomal RNA". Lineage: Eukaryota; Viridiplantae; Streptophyta; Magnoliopsida; Poales; Poaceae. The record is from RNAcentral.